UGUUAAGAAGUGAUUAGGUUUUGAGAGCCUUCUCCCUUAUGAAUAGGAGUAAAGCCAUUAUAAAAGAGGCUUCGAGAGCCUCCUGCCAUGUGAAGAUUCCGUGUGUCUUCUUUCUGGAGGACACAGCAGCAGGGCUCCAUCUUGGAAGCAGAGAGGAGUCCCCAGCAGAAAACCAAACCUGCUGGUGCCUAGAUCUUCAGUUUCACAACCUCCAGACUGGAGGAUGACUGACUGGUACUGAUUUUUGCAAGAGACUGAGUAGAUAAUUCAGCGUGAGACUGCGAGGGUGACUCUGAUAGUAUUUUACAAGAUUUCUUGAAAUAUCUAACAGGUGAGUCUUGAGCACGAGACUGUUUCUUUUCUCAACAAAAGAGCACAAGGCAAGCCCAUUCCUAAGAACUGCUCUCUGGUUCUGUAAACUUCUCUGCCUUUGAAAGUCUGG
Molecule: long non-coding RNA, 442 nt
Filed under: Callithrix jacchus (white-tufted-ear marmoset)
Lineage: Eukaryota; Metazoa; Chordata; Mammalia; Primates; Cebidae
Description: lncRNA (ENSCJAG00000076448.1)
Source: RNAcentral